AAGAUAUCUAAAAAUGUACAGUUUGAGGCACAUGAUAUUGGAAUAAACCUUUUAUGAUAGUUUUUAAGGGAUGUAAUAAGAAUGAAAGCAUGACUUGGAAAAUAGGCCUAAGAUAUUACUGUUUGUAUCCUAUGAUGAUUUAUAGGUUACUUUGGUGCGUUCAUUUUUUUUUUAAAGUCUUCAUAGGAGAUUUGAUGCCUACACAUGUUUUUUAUGUUUGGAUAAUAUUUUUUGUUUUGUGCUUUUUUGGGGGGGGGGUAUUCAAUCUCUGGGAUAUUGAAUUGGGUCGGUUAGCUGGUUAUCGAUCAGUUGGAAAAUUAUGAAUUGCAAAGAUUUUACAAUGCACAAAAUGAAACAGUUGUGGGUUUAGAUGAAAGAUAGAUUUGUAUACAAUUAUAGAGUUAAGUAUAAUAAUAGAAAGGUAGAUAUAUAUAUUAUAUAGAUAUAAUAUAUGCAAGGAUAACAUGCCUAUUAUAUAAAUGGCUGCAUAUACAAAUGUGCGUAUAUCGUAUAUCUGUAAACACACAUACUGUAUGUUCAUGCAGAACACGUGCAAGGGGCUUGAACUCUGAAAUUAACUGCUGAUGUCCAUCAUUUCGGGCUAUUUUAUUUUGAUUCCCAUGAAUACAUUGUUUCUUGUCUCCUAAAUUCUGCACGAUACACAUUUGACAUGCAGGGUCGCAAGAAUAGACAUUUCAUACCGGGCCUCAAACUUUAGUUUGGCAUACGACAAAACCCACCUGCAGCAUGUAAAAUUAAAUUGUGUAUUGUAUUAUCUGCCAGCUUUAGGUACAUGUAUAGAUCAAGGUUUUGCAUAGUUGGAAUUCUCCACUAUUGCACAAAAAUAUAUAGUCCUUCAUAAAGUAGCGAUUUUUUAUUUUUAUUUUUUUAACCUCUAACCUAUAAUUUUGUUACCCUGGCUAUUUUAAGUCAGUGUUGAUUUACCAGCCUAGAAUAUAAGUAAAUAUGAAAUGAUGGUUAUAUAGAAACAAAUAAGAGAAUAUAGAUGCAACAGGGUUUGUUACUUCCUUUUGAUUCAUACAUUGUGAUUUUCAGCACCAGCAUUAAACCCGGUGGAAACUGUGAUAAUCUGUGUUUUACGAUGGGGUGUUUUUUGUUAAUUAAAAUACAUGUUGCACUUAUGUAAAUGUUGUUAAGGGUUAAGUAUACUGUAGAUUGUCAUAUUUGAGUGGCUGAAUGCUUGUGGUGCAAAUCUUGGACACACACACACACUCACAUACCUCUCUCGGAGCCUCAAUGUCUUCAAGGGAGCAAGCUACACAGACCUCAUUAACAAGGCACCGGCCCAUGGUCAGCAGAAUAUGAGAACCCAGAAUCUCUUAGUAAAUCCUGGAGAGAUCACAUCUGUGCCUGUGACUCUUCUGUAUGCGUUUACACAUAGUUAUUUCAGCUCUGCCACUGUGGCAUAUUACACUAUUUCGUUGUGUCUAAAAGCUGGGAUUUAAAAGGUUUAUUUUCGCAGAGUAUAUCAUUUGCUCCAAAGUGUGCGAAACAGCAGAAACGCAACUUUGACUUUGCAUUAAGUGGUUGAAUACAUUGGCUGUAGAUUCACAAUUCAUUGUGAAGGGUCAGAGUGGGUCGCUUAUUUUCCCAGCAAGAUGGGCUGCUCCAGCCCUGCAUAAUGAAUAGCUUGGUUUGUAGCAGAGAGUCACUGACGUAUCUAUGUGUAAUGCAUAGCCAACACAGCCCAUCUUGCAGGAGAAUAUAAUUGAUGUAUUUGAGUUAAAGUGUUCAGCUCACCUGCAAACAUCUGGUUUAGUGAAUAAACAAAUGACUCAACACCAGUCAGAUGGUUUCUAAUGGCCACAUUUGGUUAUUCCAACCCUUGCCACCAUGAAUGCAAGAUUUAAGUAGCCUAUUCUUUCUGCUGUUCCAAGGGUGAACAGGAGAGGGCAGCAGAUAAACUUUUAAUAUUUAGGGGCACAACUCCAGUCCUUGAGGGCUGUAAACAGGACAGGGGUUCUAUGUAUUCUUGCCUCAAAACAUGUUUAAUGAAUGUAGUUUAGUGAAUCUUUAAUGUAGAUGCCUGUGUCCUGGUUGCAGCCCUCAUGGACUGAAUUUGUGGAUGCCUGCUUUGAUAAACAGAAUCCCCCAAAUAUGACCAUUAAUUGUAUAUCUAACAACAUCCAACACUUUUACAAUCAAAUGAAGCGUCGGGUCAUGCUAAAAAAACAUUUUGGCAUAAAUAAGUAUCAUUUCAUGACAUGAUUAUGUUAGAACCUCUGCUAUUAACAAACUAUUAAUGUAUUUUUUAAUAAAGUUACAUAACAUUUAAUUAUAUUUGAUAAUUGUUAAUGCUGAGAAUUCAAUUAAGAUAUGUGUAACUGUUUUAAUAAAUGUUUAUCAUUUCUAACUA
Molecule: long non-coding RNA, 2377 nt
Organism: Spea bombifrons (plains spadefoot toad)
Lineage: Eukaryota; Metazoa; Chordata; Amphibia; Anura; Pelobatidae
Exons: 2
Source: RefSeq, a predicted model, not a curated record